RNAcentral lists this ribosomal RNA (480 nucleotides) under uncultured bacterium. RNAcentral describes it as "partial 16S ribosomal RNA". It matches the Rfam family "Bacterial small subunit ribosomal RNA", at positions 28 to 523 of the family's 1533-position model. The record is from RNAcentral.
GACGAACGCUGGCAGCGUGCUUAACACAUGCAAGUCGAGCGGAAAGGCCCUUUCGGGGGUACUCGAGCGGCGAACGGGUGAGUAACACGUGAGUAAUCUGCCCCUGGCUUUGGGAUAGCCACCGGAAACGGUGAUUAAUACCGGAUACGACCACUUCUCGCAUGGGAUGGUGGUGGAAAGUUUUUCGGCCAGGGAUGUGCUCGCGGCCUAUCAGCUUGAUGGUGAGGUAAUGGCUCACCAUGGCUUCGACGGGUAGCCGGCCUGAGAGGGGGACCGGUCACACUGGGACUGAGACACGGCCCAGACUCCUACGGGAGGCAGCAGUGGGGAAUAUUGGACAAUGGGCGGAAGCCUGAUCCAGCAACGCCGCGUGAGGGAUGACGGCCUUCGGGUUGUAAACCUCUUUCAGCAGGGACGAAGCGCAAGUGACGGUACCUGCAGAAGAAGCACCGGCCAACUACGUGCCAGCAGCCGCCGUAA